Molecule: ribosomal RNA, 914 nt
Filed under: uncultured Candidatus Cenarchaeum sp.
Lineage: Archaea; Thermoproteati; Nitrososphaerota; Candidatus Cenarchaeales; Candidatus Cenarchaeaceae
Description: bacterial SSU rRNA
Rfam family: Archaeal small subunit ribosomal RNA
Source: RNAcentral
UUCCGGUUGAUCCUGCCGGACCUGACUGUUAUCGGAUUGAUACUAAGUCAUGCGAGUCUUUGUAGCAAUACAAGGCAUACGGCUCAGUAACACGUAGUCAGUCUACCCUAUGGACGGGGAUAACCUCGGGAAACUGAGAAUAAUACCCGAUAGAUCAUUAUGCCUGGAAUGGUUUAUGAUCCAAAUGAAUUUCGCCAUAGGAUGGGACUGCGGUCUAUCAGCUUGUUGGUGAGGUAAUGGCCCACCAAGGCUAUAACAGAUACGGGCUCUGAGAGGAGAGGCCCGGAGAUGGGUACUGAGACACGGACCCAGGUCCUAUGGGGCGCAGCAGGCGAGAAAACUUUGCAAUGUGCGAAAGCACGACAAGGUUAAUCCGAGUGUUUCCUGCUAAAGGAAUCUUUUGUCAGCCAUAACACCACUGAUGAAUAAGGGGUGGGCAAGUUCUGGUGUCAGCCGCCGCGGUAAAACCAGCACCUCAAGUGGUCAGGAGGAUUAUUGGGCCUGAAGCAUCCGUAGCCUGCUUUGUAAGUUUUCGGUUAAAUCCAUGUGCUCAACAUAUGGGCUGCCGGGAAUACUACACAGCUAGGGAGUGGGAGAGGUAGACGGUACUCCAUAGGAAGGGGUAAAAUCCUUUGAUCUAUGGAAGACCACCUGUGGCGAAGGCGGUCUACCAGAACACGUUCGACGGUGAGGGAUGAAAGCUGGGGGAGCAAACCGGAUUAGAUACCCGGGUAGUCCCAGCUGUAAACUAUGCAAACUCGGUGAUGCAUUGGCUUGUGGCCAGUGCAGUGCCGCAGGGAAGCCGUUAAGUUUGCCGCCUGGGAAGUACGUACGCAAGUAUGAAAACUUAAAGGAAUUGGCGGGGGAGCACCACAAGGGGUGAAGCCUGGCGUUCAAUUGGAUUCAACGCCGGG